CAUGCAGUCGAGGCAGCACAGGGGAGCUUGCUCUUUGGGUGGCGAGUGGCGGACGCCUGAGGAAUACAUCGGAAUCUACUCUGUCGUGGGGGAUAACGUAGGAAAACUUACGCUAAUACCGCAUACGACCUACGGGUGAAAGCAGGGGAUCUUCGGACCUUGCGCGAUUGAAUGAGCCGAUGUCGGAUUAGCUAGUUGGCGGGGUAAAGGCCCACCAAGGCGACGAUCCGUAGCUGGUCUGAGAGGAUGAUCAGCCACACUGGAACUGAGACACGGUCCAGACUCCUACGGGAGGCAGCAGUGGGGAAUAUUGGACAAUGGGCGCAAGCCUGAUCCAGCCAUACCGCGUGGGUGAAGAAGGCCUUCGGGUUGUAAAGCCCUUUUGUUGGAAAAGAAAUCCAGCCGGCUAAUACCUGGUUGGGAUGACGGUACCCAAAGAAUAAGCACCGNCUAACUUCGUGCCAGCAGCCGCGGUAAUACGAAGGGUGCAAGCGUUACUCGGAAUUACUGGGGCGUAAAGCGUGCGUGGGUGGUCGUUUAAGUCCGUUGUGAAAGCCCUG
This 560-nucleotide ribosomal RNA is filed under the name bacterium amp-d-3. RNAcentral describes it as "bacterial SSU rRNA". It matches the Rfam family "Bacterial small subunit ribosomal RNA", at positions 54 to 605 of the family's 1533-position model. The record is from RNAcentral.